AAGGAGGUGAUCCAGCCGCAGAGUCUGAGCCAGGAUCAAACUCAGAGUUUGAUCCUGGCUCAGGACGAACGCUGGCGGCGUGCCUAAUACAUGCAAGUCGUGCGGACCUUUUAAAAGCUUGCUUUUAAAAGGUUAGCGGCGGACGGGUGAGUAACACGUGGGCAACCUGCCUGUAAGACUGGGAUAACGCCGGGAAACCGGGGCUAAUACCAGAUCGUUUUUUCCUCCGCAUGGAGGAAAAAGGAAAGGCGGCUUCGGCUGCCACUUACAGAUGGGCCCGCGGCGCAUUAGCUAGUUGGUGGGGUAAUGGCCCACCAAGGCAACGAUGCGUAGCCGACCUGAGAGGGUGAUCGGCCACAUUGGGACUGAGACACGGCCCAAACUCCUACGGGAGGCAGCAGUAGGGAAUCUUCCGCAAUGGACGAAAGUCUGACGGAGCAACGCCGCGUGAGUGAAGAAGGCCUUCGGGUCGUAAAACUCUGUUGCCGGGGAAGAACAAGUGCCGUUCGAACAGGGCGGCGCCUUGACGG
This 530-nucleotide ribosomal RNA is filed under the name uncultured bacterium. RNAcentral's name for it is "bacterial SSU rRNA". It matches the Rfam family "Bacterial small subunit ribosomal RNA", at positions 1 to 475 of the family's 1533-position model. The record is from RNAcentral.